Molecule: ribosomal RNA, 478 nt
Filed under: uncultured bacterium
Lineage: Bacteria
Description: partial 16S ribosomal RNA
Rfam family: Bacterial small subunit ribosomal RNA
Source: RNAcentral
GAUGAACGCUGGCGGCGUGCUUAACACAUGCAAGUCGAACGGGAAAUAUUUCAUUGAGACUUCGGUGGAUUUGAUUUAUUUCUAGUGGCGGACGGGUGAGUAACGCGUGGGUAACCUGCCUUAUACAGGGGGAUAACAGUCAGAAAUGGCUGCUAAUACCGCAUAAGCGCACAGAGCUGCAUGGCUCAGUGUGCAAAACUCCGGUGGUAUAAGAUGGACCCGCGUUGGAUUAGCUAGUUGGUGGGGUAACGGCCCACCAAGGCGACGAUCCAUAGCCGGCCUGAGAGGGUGAACGGCCACAUUGGGGCUGAGACACGGCCCAGACUCCUACGGGAGGCAGCAGUGGGGAAUAUUGCACAAUGGGGGAAACCCUGAUGCAGCGACGCCGCGUGAAGGAAGAAGUAUCUCGGUAUGUAAACUUCUAUCAGCAGGGGAGAUAGUGACGGUACCUGACUAAGAAGCCCCGGCUAACUACGUG